This 619-nucleotide ribosomal RNA is filed under the name Ciliophora sp. RNAcentral's name for it is "SSU rRNA". It matches the Rfam family "Eukaryotic small subunit ribosomal RNA", at positions 341 to 980 of the family's 1831-position model. The record is from RNAcentral. Lineage: Eukaryota; Ciliophora.
CUACCAUGGCAGUCACGGGUAACGGGGAAUUAGGGUUCGAUUCCGGAGAGGGAGCCUGAGAAACGGCUACCACUUCUAAGGAAGGCAGCAGGCGCGUAAAUUACCCAAUCCCGACUCGGGGAGGUAGUGACAAGAAAUAACAACUUGGGUCCUUCGGGAUUACAAGAUUGCAAUGAGAACAAUUUAGACCACUUAACGAGGAUCCAUUGGAGGGCAAGUCUGGUGCCAGCAGCCGCGGUAAUUCCAGCUCCAAUAGCGUAUAUUAAAGUUGUUGCAGUUAAAAAGCUCGUAGUUGAACUUCUGGCUAUUCUUCCAGCUGGCUUCGGUCGCUGUAAGAGUGGUCAUCCGCUUGGGAACUACGUUCGAACUUCACUGUUCGGCGUAAGGAACAGGCAUUUUACUUAGAAAAAAUUAGAGUGUUCAAGGCAGGCUAUCGCCCUGAAUACACAAGCUUGGAAUAAUGAAAUAGGACUAUUUCCAUUUUAUUGGUUAUUGAAUUAGUAAUGAUUAAUAGGGACAGUUGGGGACAUUAGUAUUUAAUUGUCAGAGGUGAAAUUCUUGGAUUUAUUAAUGACUAACUUAUGCGAAAGCAUUUGUCAAGGAUGUUUUCAUUAAUCAA